This 70-nucleotide transfer RNA is filed under the name Ictidomys tridecemlineatus (thirteen-lined ground squirrel). RNAcentral describes it as "Spermophilus tridecemlineatus (thirteen-lined ground squirrel) tRNA". It matches the Rfam family "tRNA". From Rfam's summary of the family: Transfer RNA (tRNA) molecules are approximately 80 nucleotides in length. Their secondary structure includes four short double-helical elements and three loops (D, anti-codon, and T loops). The record is from Rfam by way of RNAcentral. Lineage: Eukaryota; Metazoa; Chordata; Mammalia; Rodentia; Sciuridae.
GGGGAUAUAGCUCAGUUGGUAGAGUGCUUGCCUUGCAUGCAAAAGAUCCUGGGUUUAAUCCCCAGCACCA